Molecule: ribosomal RNA, 463 nt
Filed under: uncultured bacterium
Lineage: Bacteria
Description: partial 16S ribosomal RNA
Rfam family: Bacterial small subunit ribosomal RNA
Source: RNAcentral
GACGAACGCUGGCGGCGUGCUUAACACAUGCAAGUCGAGCGGUAAGGCCCUUCGGGGUACACGAGCGGCGAACGGGUGAGUAACACGUGAGUAAUCUGCCCAUCACUUCGGGAUAACUCCGGGAAACCGGUGCUAAUACCGAAUAUGACCACUUCAGGCAUCUGAUGGUGGUGGAAAGUUCCGGCGGUGAUGGAUGAGCUCGCGGCCUAUCAGCUUGUUGGUGGGGUAGUGGCCUACCAAGGCUUCGACGGGUAGCCGGCCUGAGAGGGUGACCGGCCACACUGGGACUGAGACACGGCCCAGACUCCUACGGGAGGCAGCAGUGGGGAAUAUUGGACAAUGGGCGAAAGCCUGAUCCGGCAACGCCGCGUGAGGGAUGACGGCCUUCGGGUUGUAAACCUCUUUCAGCAGGGACGAAGCGCAAGUGACGGUACCUGCAGAAGAAGCACCGGCCAACUACGUG